UGUGGGUGGCGAGCGGCAGAUUUGGAUUCCCGCUCACGGCCACCGUCAGUGGCGAGCGAGCGCUUCUGAAGCGGCGGCUCGCUGGGCCUCCUCUAGGUCGACUCAGCCUGAAGCGUGUGUGCUACAGGUGGGUGUCUCGGAUUGCCAGCGCCAUGUGACGGAGCUCCAGGGCGUGCUGCGUGCCCGCCAGGAGGGGCUUGGUGAGAUGCUCUCACCCUGACUGAGCGCGGGAACACAGUGGGGCGGCACCAGCGGGACUCCCUGGACAACGCAGCCAAGUUCCUUGGCACAAGACCGAACAGCGCAGCGACUCGUGCAGCAGCAACGACCCAAGGGACAGCCUUCGCCACACACUCUGGAGGAGAAGAGGCUCCUCG
Long non-coding RNA from Lethenteron reissneri (Far Eastern brook lamprey), 377 nucleotides. RefSeq lists it as uncharacterized. NCBI's taxonomy places the organism in Eukaryota, Metazoa, Chordata, Hyperoartia, Petromyzontiformes, Petromyzontidae. The record is from RefSeq and is a predicted model, not a curated record.